Molecule: long non-coding RNA, 190 nt
Organism: Populus euphratica (Euphrates poplar)
Lineage: Eukaryota; Viridiplantae; Streptophyta; Magnoliopsida; Malpighiales; Salicaceae
Exons: 2
Source: RefSeq, a predicted model, not a curated record
AAAGUAUCUACUUGUCAUCUUUACCCAAUUAGCGUUGCAAAAUGCUAAUCUGAGAGAGCACGAGAUCUCACUUCAUUUUGGACCAUGCGUGUUUAUAUUUGUUCAUAGUACUCAACACGCCCAUGACAUAGACAAAUUCAUGAAAUCAUCAAAACUUAUGUUGAGAGUAAAGAGGAGUUUUCUUCUGAAA